Meriones unguiculatus (Mongolian gerbil) is the source of this 6009-nucleotide RNA transcript. It is a transcript of the gene named CCR4-NOT transcription complex subunit 3, with no coding region annotated. Lineage: Eukaryota; Metazoa; Chordata; Mammalia; Rodentia; Muridae. The record is from RefSeq and is a predicted model, not a curated record. The transcript has 18 exons.
UCUGGCAGUGAAGUCUCCUAGAUGUCCCACUCGACCAAUCUUCUUUUAAGGAAGCCUUUUUUUCUUUUUCUUUUUAACACUCCCACUCCAAACCUUAGAUUCAGGACUGUCCACAGUAUUGCUCACUUCCUAGCUUCACAUCUAUAUAUCUUUGAGAGUGGGGUAUCAGUGGCCUCUAGCUUUGGGGGGGAUGCAAACUCCGUUUACAUGCAAGCUAUCUGCCUCCAUGGAUUCGGCUUCCUAGUGAUGUCAAGUCUACUGAUACUGUGUGGUGAGGCCAGUUUAGCUUUCUUGGGUCUGUGGUUGGAAUGUGAGCUUCUAUUGGGGCAGUUCAAGCAUCUUUUCUCAACAGCUGCUUCUCAGUUCUGGGGCUGUCAUCUCCUCAGGAGUAGCUCUGCCUUUUUGUCAAGGGUUUUUCUCUCUGUCUUCCCUUUCUCCCCUCAUCACAUGGAUUGUUUUCUCUCUGCAUUUCCAUUCUCAUCUACCCAGCCCGUGUGUAUGUGAUCUCCCAUAAUUGACAUUCACUGGAUUGAAGGAAGCGUUCCAGAGCUAGAGUGGUCCAUCUCACCCCCUGUCACCUUGUAGGCGUGCAAGCAUUCCUCGCCUUUGUUGUGUUGUCUUUGUGGGGUAAAAAUGUUCCUGCCUUUUUUGUUGUUGGCAUCAUCCCUUAUCUAGCAUUUGAGGUGGCCACACCCCCCUGUGUACCCACUUUGAUGUUAGGUACUCUUGGGUGAGAGUGGCCUUGGCUAGUGAGACUCCUUUGGUUUUUCUAUGGGUCUAAAGUGAAGGUUCCCUGUGCAAUGUCUGAGGCUUGGGAGAAAGAUCACUGUUGGCAUUUUGCUUGGGACUAAAGAUACUUAGGGAUGACUUCCGAAGGUGUGGGUUUCCCUUUCCCUACCUUUGGUGUUGGACCUCUCUACCUCUGACCAGGAUCUACAUUAUUCACCUCACAGAACCCCCAUGUGGUGGUGCCAGCAUCCUCCACUGGGUUCAAGUUCACCUCCCGUGCUGCUUGCCACCAUCCUGGCUUUAGCGCCUUAUAUUGUCUAUGCUCCAGGAUGCUGGUGGGGCCACUCUGCAGUACCAGCUGCAGGAUUAAAGUUAUGCUCAUCGAGUCUCUGGAUGACAGUCGUGGCACCUGUGGUGGAAAGGUCUGUAUAUUAUUUUGUUAUUGGCUCCUGCUGUGAGUCCAGAUUUGAGGAUUUGCCACAGCCUUAGAGGAUCCUAAUGAUUGAACCAUUACCUGCGUCAAGAGGCUAGCUUCCUCCAUGCUGUUUGAGACCCUCUCAUCAUCUGUGUAUAUGUUCUCAGGGUAGGUGCUUGCCUACCUCCAAAGGGCCCUGUGGUGAUGGCCUUCUCUUAGAGAAGGUCUUGGAAAAUGGGAUGGGCAGUCUUCUGUGGUGGCACCUCUACUUUGAGGUUCUAGAGCCACUCUGUCUGCUGAGCUUCUGAGCUGUGUACACCUUCUUGGUGUGGAGUGUUUUCUUGUGGAGAGAUGAUAUUGCCUUCACUCUAGCUGAGGCUCCAACCUCUAGAGCACAAAAUUUGGGUCUAUGGACCUUGUCCUACUCUGUGGAGCAGCCUUUUGCCAGUCAGAUAUGGCCUUCUCUAAUCACAAUUUUCCCCGCUUAGAUGGCUAAAGUAUGACACCUGCUUUUUUUUUUUUAACCUUUUAAAAUUAUUCUUAGUCUGUGUAUUUUGCCUGCAUGCAUGUAAGUACACUGCCUGUGUGCUGUACCUGAGAAGGCUAUUGGUUCCUCUGGAACUAGGGUUAUAGCUAGAGAGUUGUGAUCUGUGAUAUGAGUGCUGGGAGCUGAACCUGUAUUGUCCACAGAGCAACAAGUGCUCUUUAACUUCUGAGUCAUCUUCUGCCCCUAAUUUAUUUAUUUACAUGUAUGUAUGUAUGUAUAUAUGUAUUUGAAGCUUUCUUUGUUUUGUUUUUGUAUGUGUGUGCAUGCCCUGGCAGAAACGUGGAGAUCAGAGAAAAACUUUAAGAAGUUGAUUCUUUGCUUUCACUGUUUGGCCCCAGGGUUUGAAUCCAGUUUUCAUAGGAAGCACCUUUACCUACUCAGCCAUCUCACUGGCCCUUAAUUAUUUUUUGUUACAUUUAUUUGUUUUUUUUUUUUGAGACUGUUUAGUCCUGGAUGGCCUGGAACUCAGAGAUUUGCCUGCCUCUGCCUCCUGAGUACUGGGAUUGAAGGUAUACCCCACCAACCCUGACCCAACAUUUUUCUAUUUACUUAUAUAUCAGUUUAUGUGGUAAGUGUUUUGAACACCCACAUGUGCCUGCUCUUGCACAGGUACACGUGCAGGCAGCAUACAUGUUUGAAGAUAGAGGAUAUCUUGGUUCUCUCUACCAUGUGAAUCCUGGAGAUUGAACUUAGAAUGUUAGGCUUGGUAGCAAGAAACUAUUCUGGGCCUCCUCACUGGCCCUUUGUUGUCCCUGUUCUUUGGCACCUUGCUUCUGGCCCCUUUAGGAUCUCUGUCAUUUUUUUUUUUUUCCUGCCAUAGUAUUAUCCUCUCAUUGCAGGAUAGUACCACAUUUUCCCCUAUGUGCAGUCGCAACUAUUUUACUCUGGAAUUACAGUAGAGCCUCGUUUCCUUAAGGCUGGAAUGCCUUGUCCAGGUUCCAGUGGCUUCCCAGAACUUUCCUGCAGGCUCUUGGGACAGAGUGGGUGCUGUAAGCUCUUGUUUAACAUUCCUUCCUUCCCUGGUGUAAAACAAAAAUGCUGUUGAUGGAUAUGAGAACCAAGACUCACCCCUGGUCAAGAUUUCAAACACCCCCUGCUGGUGUCCAGGCACAGUCUCUGGACCAGAGGUGCCUGUUCCACUUGAGUCUCCUGUGGGGCUCUUUGCUGAGUCCUUUUGCUGCUUCAUCAUCUUGAAUAUUCCUGGUGUGUAAUGUGUUAGCUAAUCCUUAGGUGAAAGUGUUGCUCUCUCUUUUUCUCUUUCUCUCUCUCUCUCUCUCUCUCUUUUGAUAGGUCCUUUGCUGAAGAGAUUUAAGUUCCAGAGUCUGAGGUGUCACCCAUACCUACCUCCCCACAGAGUGGGACCCUACAGAGUUAAUUUUAAAAUUCCUUGCAGAGGAAGUACCAGCCCCAUCCACUUGAGGCCUCUUUUUCUAAAUCUCCUUAAUGCAGUGUCCCAUGUGGUGGCUGCUAGCCAUCUGUGAUUAAUACAAGUGAAAAAACUGAGCCAAGCAUGACGGUACACUCCUGUAACCUCAGCAUUUGGGAGGACAAGCGUCCGUUUUUAAGAGAGUAUGAAGAGAGUGCGUCUGUAGGGCAGGGAAGAUGGCGGACAAGCGCAAACUCCAAGGUGAGAUUGAUCGCUGCCUCAAGAAGGUGUCCGAAGGCGUGGAGCAGUUUGAAGAUAUUUGGCAAAAGAUUUCCCAGCCAAGGAAGAAAGAGACUGGACCUUUACUGCUAUGGCGAGUUCUGGGCAGCCACUCUCACAUUGACUGCUGAAUUCUUCAUCCCUCAGCUCCACAAUGCAGCCAACGCGAACCAGAAAGAAAAGUAUGAGGCUGACCUAAAGAAGGAGAUUAAGAAGCUACAACGGCUGAGGGACCAGAUCAAGACAUGGGUAGCAUCCAAUGAGAUCAAGGACAAAAGGCAGCUUAUCGAAAACCGCAAGCUCAUAGAAACGCAAAUGGAACGGUUCAAAGUUGUGGAACGAGAGACCAAAACCAAAGCUUAUAGCAAGGAGGGCCUGGGUCUGGCUCAGAAGGUGGACCCUGCCCAGAAGGAGAAGGAAGAGGUUGGCCAGUGGCUCACGAACACCAUUGACACCCUAAAUAUGCAGGUGGACCAGUUUGAGAGUGAGGUGGAGUCACUGUCAGUACAGACACGCAAGAAGAAGGGCGACAAGGAUCAGAAGCAGGACCGGAUUGAGGGCUUGAAGCGGCACAUUGAGAAGCACCGCUACCAUGUGCGCAUGCUGGAGACCAUCCUACGCAUGCUGGACAAUGACUCCAUCCUGGUUGACGCCAUCCGCAAGAUCAAGGAUGAUGUGGAGUACUACGUUGACUCAUCCCAGGACCCCGACUUCGAAGAGAACGAAUUCCUCUAUGACGACCUGGACCUCGAGGACAUUCCACAGGCGCUGGUCGCCACCUCCCCCCCCAGCCACAGCCACAUGGAGGACGAGAUCUUCAACCAGUCCAGCAGCACGCCCACCUCAACAACCUCCAGCUCUCCCAUCCCUCCUAGCCCAGCAAACUGCACUACGGAAAACUCUGAAGACGAUAAGAAGAGAGGCCGCUCCACAGAUAGUGAAAUCAGCCAGUCUCCAGCCAAAAACGGCUCCAAGCCUGUCCACAGCAACCAGCACCCCCAGUCCCCAGCUGUGCCGCCCACCUACCCCUCUGGCCCCCCACCUGCCACUUCUGCCUUGAGCUCCACCCCUGGCAACAAUGGGGCCUCUACCCCAGCUGCACCUCCAAGUGCCCUGGGCCCCAAGGCCAGUCCAGCUCCCAGCCACAACUCGGGUACUCCUGCUCCCUAUGCCCAGGCUGUGGCCCUACCCAAUGCCAGCGGGCCCGGCACUGCCCAGCCCCGGCCCCCCAGUGCCCAGCCGAGCGGGGGAAGUGGUGGUGGCAGCGGAGGGAGCAGCAGCAAUAGUAACAGUGGCACAGGCGGAGGGGCUGGCAAGCAAAACGGUGCCACCAGCUAUAGUUCUGUUGUGGCAGACAGCCCAGCAGAGGUGGCCCUGAGUAGCAGUGGGGGCAGCAACGCCAACAGCCAAGCCCUGGGACCCACUUCAGGCCCUCACAACCCAGCUCCCAGCACCUCAAAGGAAUCCAGUACAGCAGCCCCAUCGGGGCCUGGGAGUGUGGCUUCAGGCUCAGGGAACAACUCAGGGGGACCCAGCCUUUUGGUGCCUCUACCUGUGAAUCCUCCCAGUUCUCCAACGCCCAGCUUCAGUGAGGCCAAGGCAGCUGGAACCCUGCUCAAUGGUCCUCCACAGUUCAGCACCACCCCAGAGAUCAAGGCCCCUGAACCUCUAAGCUCUCUGAAAUCCAUGGCAGAACGGGCAGCUAUCAGCUCUGGUAUUGAGGACCCUGUGCCAACGUUACACCUAACAGAGCGAGACAUCAUCCUGAGCAGCACAUCAGCACCACCCACCUCAGCCCAGCCACCUCUGCAGCUGUCAGAGGUGAACAUACCAUUGUCACUGGGUGUGUGUCCACUGGGGCCAGUGUCUCUCACCAAGGAGCAGCUAUACCAACAGGCCAUGGAAGAGGCCGCCUGGCACCACAUGCCCCACCCCUCUGACUCUGAGCGAAUUCGGCAGUACCUCCCCCGGAACCCUUGCCCGACACCCCCCUACCACCACCAGAUGCCACCCCCACACUCGGACACUGUGGAGUUCUACCAGCGCCUGUCAACUGAGACGCUCUUCUUCAUCUUCUACUAUCUGGAGGUACAGCAGGGCCCCUGGGGCAGCCUCAGGCCCCCCAGCUCCGCCGCCACCGCUGCCAUCCCCCCUCAGGCUGGAGGGGCGAGGGAACCAAGGCACAGUAUUUGGCAGCCAAGGCCCUAAAGAAGCAGUCCUGGCGAUUCCACACUAAGUACAUGAUGUGGUUUCAGAGGCAUGAGGAGCCCAAGACCAUCACAGAUGAGUUUGAGCAGGGCACCUACAUCUACUUUGACUACGAGAAGUGGGGCCAGCGGAAGAAGGAAGGCUUCACCUUUGAGUACCGCUACCUGGAGGACCGGGACCUCCAGUGACACCAGCCCCCUCUAUCUGACCCCUCCCCCGCAUGCUGAUCCCCCUGCCCAGGUGAGGGCCCUGCCCUGGAAGACUGGGGGAGGCCCAAGGCCAUGGGUACCCUCCCCCCCCAGGAAGCAGGGAAGGGGCAGGGAGGUUUUCCUCUCUGCCCUACCCUGGGGCCCUGGGGGCGAGAGCUGCCCCCUCCUCCCCUCCCCAGUGAGGGACAUUUUUUGGUAAACCUAUUUUCAUUUUGGAAAAUAUUUAUGAAUAAAUAGUUUUAUAUGACGGCUGGCA